This is a non-coding RNA of Cucumis melo (muskmelon), 106 nucleotides long. Lineage: Eukaryota; Viridiplantae; Streptophyta; Magnoliopsida; Cucurbitales; Cucurbitaceae. The record is from Rfam.
GUCCCUUUGUGGACCUCGGAAAAAUUGAAAUGAUACCAAGAAUUAAGAUUAGCAUGGCCCUUGUGUAAGAAUGACACACACAAAUCGAGAAAUUGUCUAAAUUAAA